This is a long non-coding RNA of Tympanuchus pallidicinctus (lesser prairie-chicken), 477 nucleotides long. RefSeq lists it as uncharacterized. The transcript is spliced from 2 exons. The record is from RefSeq and is a predicted model, not a curated record. Lineage: Eukaryota; Metazoa; Chordata; Aves; Galliformes; Phasianidae.
AUGGUGCUGUGGAUAGUCUCAUUUCAUUGGCACCUUCUACACCAAAGUAGAUGGAGCAGAGAAAUUAGAUGCACUCCCUCUAAACAAAGGACUUCUCAAAGGCAUGCCUGGAUGAUAGCAUAUUCUCACUCUAACUCAAGCUGAAGGACAAGUUUUAGUCAGCAUUUCAUGCACUUCCAAGCAUCAGAGACAUCCAGCUUCUCUGCUGCCCUGGAACCUCCCGCACUGUGGCCUCCUUAGCAAUUAGUGCCUCAGGACGACCAUCCUCUGAGAGCACCAGCAGCACCAUCACUGAGGCUAACACAACUACCUCAGCAGCUCCAGUCUGCUUACUCUGUUCCACUGUUUACUCUGAUGCUCACUUUCAAAUGGCAUUUCAUGUAGAAUUACUGAAAAAUGUGCUGGCAGAUGCUGCAGCUCAGAAUAACACGAAGCAGUCAGGUGAUUUGCAUAUGAAGAAUUUCUGCUGGUGAAGAU